Molecule: transfer RNA, 73 nt
Filed under: Dendronephthya gigantea
Lineage: Eukaryota; Metazoa; Cnidaria; Anthozoa; Malacalcyonacea; Nephtheidae
Description: tRNA-Arg
Rfam family: tRNA
About the family: Transfer RNA (tRNA) molecules are approximately 80 nucleotides in length.
Source: RNAcentral
GCCUUCGUGGCCUAACGGAUAAGGCGUCGGCUUUCUAAGGCGAAGAUUGCGGGUUCGAAUCCCGUCGGAGGUA